This 449-nucleotide ribosomal RNA is filed under the name uncultured bacterium. Its description in RNAcentral is "bacterial SSU rRNA". It matches the Rfam family "Bacterial small subunit ribosomal RNA", at positions 355 to 796 of the family's 1533-position model. The record is from RNAcentral.
UCGAGAAUCAUUCGCAAUGGGCGAAAGCCUGACGAUGCGACGCCGCGUGAGCGAAGAAGGCCUUCGGGUUGUAAAGCUCUUUCGCUUGGGAACAAGAGAUGCUAGCUAACAUCUAGCAAAUUUGAGCGUACCAGGUAAAGAAGCACCGGCUAACUCCGUGCCAGCAGCUGCGGUAAUACGGAGGGUGCAAGCAUUAAUCGGAUUUAUUGGGCGUAAAGAGCGUGUAGACGGCGAAGAAAGUCAGAUGUGAAAUCCCGGGGCUUACCCCCGGAACUGCAUUUGAAACUUCUUCACUAGAGGGUAGGCGGAGAAAACGGAAUUCCACAAGUAGCGGUGAAAUGCGUAGAUAUGUGGAAGAACACCGGUGGCGAAGGCGGUUUUCUAGCUUAUUCCUGACGUUGAGACGCGAAAGCAAGGGGAGCAAACAGGAUUAGAUACCCGUGUAGUCC